RNAcentral lists this long non-coding RNA (1572 nucleotides) under Carassius auratus (goldfish). RNAcentral's name for it is "lncRNA (ENSCARG00000013576.1)". Lineage: Eukaryota; Metazoa; Chordata; Actinopteri; Cypriniformes; Cyprinidae. The record is from RNAcentral.
AAACAUUCCAUUUCAUCAAACGUCACAGCAGUGUUACUUUUGAAUCUUCUCUGAACAUUCUGAAACAUUUGUAACAUUUAAAAAAAAUGUUAGACAAACAUCUUACUAAAACAAAAAGUAAGAUGUUUGACGAAUGUCUUGUGCUAGCGUUUGAGAACAUGAUUCAGUACCAGGUGAGAAACAUUAGUAAGCAUGUUCUCUGUGAGCGGGGUUCUGCUGUCUAUGUAGAGCACAGCACAGGUUUUGGAGCAGAGCCACAGGUCGGGAGGAUUUUUGGAGCAGGUCCCAGAAGAGGCCUUGAAUGGGAACUGAAGUACUGGAUCUUUGUUGUUUUGGCUGGAACGGUUCUUCUGUGUUUACCUGAGCAGUGACCCGUCGACACACUGAUCUCAGAGCACCUGGGAAGCGUCUUGAGCGGAUCUUGUCAUCCAGGAGCGUCGCGUGUAAGACCUGAGCCAUCUGUGUGCCGCAGGACAUUCACAGCAUCUGCUGGCGCUCAGAACAAACCCAGCAGAGACCCUGAGCACGUGUGAUGUGAUGUUAAAACCACACCAGCUGUUCUCAUUCUGCUGCUGUUUCUCUCGGAGUCUGAAUCGACUCACAAACAGCCACAGAACUGCUUUUCUCUUCAGUUGUUUAUGGUCAUCUGUUUCCAUGAUGAGUAGUUCACCCAAAAAUGAAAAAUGUGCUCGUCCUCAGAUCAUCCAACAUGUAUAUGGGUUUAUUUCUUUAUCAGUUUUGUAGAAAUGUAGCACUGCAUCAGUGUCUCAUCAAAGGAUGCUCUGCAGUGAAUGGGUGCCGUGAGAAUAAGAGUCCAAACAGCUGAUAAAAACAUCACAAUAAUCAUAUCAGUUAACAUCUGGAGAAGACAAAAGCUGAAACAAAUCCAGCAUUAAAUCCGUAAUUUUUAAAGAUAAAAACAUUUAAUGGAUUUGUUUAUUACAAACACAGCUUUUGUCUUCUCCAGAUGUUAACUGAUGGUGUGUGUGAUAAUUGUGAUGUUUUUAUCAGCUGUUUGGACUCUCAUUCUGAUGGCACCCAUUCACUGCAGAGCAUCCAUUGAGGAGACACUGAUGCAGUGCUACAUUUCUACAAACCUGAUGAAGAAACAAACUCAUCUUCAUCUGGGAUGAAACAUAUUUUCAGCACAUUUCAGAACAAAUCUGGCAAUCUUCAUCUACAGCAUUGUGUCUUGCUAUUGCUUUGAUUGUAUUUGUGCACUUUUAUUUAAAAGAGAUUACACAUUUUCUAAGUGUCCCCAUAAUCUUUGUGUAAUGUGUGAAUGUGGUGCAGUUCGAGGUCAGUUCACUGGAUCUUUGUUUUGUCUGAACUUCACAUUCUCCUCCAGUCUGUCGCCAGUGAAAACAGCCGUUUGCUGGAACAACAGUGUGUGAAUUCCUGAGCCGAACACUGAGACUGUUUUCAUGCAGCACUGGACUCUGAUGUUAAACAGCCUGAAAAACAACAUCUCAUCUGAUGAUUCAUACGAAGCAGAGCGUGUGUGUGGAUUCAUCCUGGAGACAACACUAUGUGACAAAUAUAACAAAACAUUUCAUUUGAGGUGCGCUUAAA